This 517-nucleotide ribosomal RNA is filed under the name uncultured bacterium. RNAcentral's name for it is "bacterial SSU rRNA". It matches the Rfam family "Bacterial small subunit ribosomal RNA", at positions 24 to 518 of the family's 1533-position model. The record is from RNAcentral.
UCAGGACGAACGCUGGCGGCGUGCCUAACACAUGCAAGUCGAACGGGGAUUUGUUUCGGCAGAAUCCUAGUGGCGAACGGGUGAGUAACGCGUAGGCAACCUGCCCUCCGGCCGGGGACAACACUCCGAAAGGGGUGCUAAUACCGGAUACGAAGUCUGUGCCGCAUGGUACGGAUUUGAAAGAUGGCCUCUAUUUAUAAGCUAUCGCCGGGGGAUGGGCCUGCGUCCGAUUAGCUGGUUGGUGGGGUAACGGCCUACCAAGGCGACGAUCGGUAGCCGGUCUGAGAGGAUGAACGGCCACAUUGGGACUGAGACACGGCCCAGACUCCUACGGGAGGCAGCAGUGGGGAAUCUUCCGCAAUGGGCGCAAGCCUGACGGAGCAACGCCGCGUGAGUUGAGGAAGUUCUUCGGAACGUAAAGCUCUGUUGUUCCUGACGAACCUCCCCUCUAUCAACAACGGAGGGGACUGACGGUAGGGAACGAGGAAGCCACGGCUAACUACGUGCCAGCAGCAGC